Molecule: ribosomal RNA, 474 nt
Filed under: uncultured bacterium
Lineage: Bacteria
Description: bacterial SSU rRNA
Rfam family: Bacterial small subunit ribosomal RNA
Source: RNAcentral
UCCUGGCUCAGAACGAACGGCUGGCGGCAGGCUUAACACAUGCAAGUUGAACGGGAUUGCUUAGUGCUUGCACUGAGCGAUGAGAGUAGCGCACUGGUGAGUAACACGUGGGAACAUGCCUUUUGGUGGGGGACAACAGGAGGAAACUUCUGCUAAUACCGCAUAAGCCCUAAGGGGGAAAGAUAUAUUGCCGAAAGAUUGGCCCGCGGAAGAUUAGGUAGUUGGUGGGGUAAAGGCCCACCAAGCCGACGAUCUAUAGCUGGUCUGAGAGGACGAACAGCCACAUUGGAACUGAGACACGGUCCAGACUCCUACGGGAGGCAGCAGUGAGGAAUAUUGGGCAAUGGAGGAAACUCUGACCCAAGCCAUGCCGCGUGAGUGAAGAAGGUUUUCGAAUUGUAAAGCUCUUUCGGAUGUGACGAUGAUGACGGUAACAUCUAAAGAAGCCCCGGCAAACUUCGUGCCAGCAGCGGC